Molecule: unclassified non-coding RNA, 159 nt
Filed under: uncultured fungus
Lineage: Eukaryota; Fungi
Description: sequence contains ITS1
Source: RNAcentral
UUGAUUUAUUUGUUUGUAUACUCAGAAGAUUCUCAAGUAAAGUAAGGGUUUGGUCCCUCGGCGGACGCCGGAGCGGCCGCCGAAGCAACACGGUAUGUUCACAGGGGUUUGGGAGUUGUAAACUCGGUAAUGAUCCCUCCGCUGGUUCACCAACGGAGA